Molecule: non-coding RNA, 35 nt
Organism: Pedobacter sp. BMA
Lineage: Bacteria; Pseudomonadati; Bacteroidota; Sphingobacteriia; Sphingobacteriales; Sphingobacteriaceae
Source: Rfam
AAAGGAGUAGCCGAAAACCUCAAACAGAGUAGGCA